GGAGGUAUAGCUCAGAGGUAGACUGCAUGCCUAGCAUGCACGAGAUCCUGGGUUCAAUCCCCAGCACCGCCA
Molecule: transfer RNA, 72 nt
Filed under: Camelus bactrianus (Bactrian camel)
Lineage: Eukaryota; Metazoa; Chordata; Mammalia; Artiodactyla; Camelidae
Also listed under: 2 other names
Rfam family: tRNA
About the family: Transfer RNA (tRNA) molecules are approximately 80 nucleotides in length. Their secondary structure includes four short double-helical elements and three loops (D, anti-codon, and T loops).
Source: Rfam by way of RNAcentral